AAUCGUGACUCGGGUUACCGCGGCUGCUGGCACGGAGUUAGCCGGUGCUUCUUCUGUGAGUGAUGUCCUUCCUGCCGGCUAUUAACCCGCAGGCCUUCUUCCUCACUGAAAGUGCUUUACAACCCGAAGGCCUUCUUCACACACGCGGCAGUGGCUGGAUCAGGGUUGCCCCCAUUGUCCAAUAUUCCCCACUGCUGCCUCCCGUAGGAUCUGGGCCGUGUCUCAGUCCCAGUGUGGCUGAUCAUCCUCUCAGACCAGCUACGGAUCGUCGCCUUGGUGAGCCGUUACCUCACCAACCAGCUAAUCCGACAUAGGCUCAUCCGAUAGCGCGAGGCCCGAAGGUCCCCCGCUUUCCCCCGUAGGGCGUAUGCGGUAUUAGCCU
RNAcentral lists this ribosomal RNA (382 nucleotides) under uncultured bacterium. RNAcentral's name for it is "partial 16S ribosomal RNA". The record is from RNAcentral.